Molecule: long non-coding RNA, 635 nt
Organism: Humulus lupulus (European hop)
Lineage: Eukaryota; Viridiplantae; Streptophyta; Magnoliopsida; Rosales; Cannabaceae
Exons: 2
Source: RefSeq, a predicted model, not a curated record
UACGUCUUAUGCCAAUGUUUGGGUUAGUUUUGCCGACGCUUCGGGAAAAGGAUAAUUUAUUCCCUGGAAAAGCAGGUCCUUUCUUUUGCAAUACUUAGUCGAUAUAUUCAAAAACGUCAACCCCAACUCUUUCUUCUUCCUCCUUUUUUCAUUCUAGUUUUUUCUUCUCUCUGGGUUUUCCCCUUUCUUCUCCGACUACACAACUUCCUCUCUCACUUGCUCCCUCUCUUUCUCACUCUCCCUCAUCUCCCACACCCACCUUCCCUCUCUCUAAAUCUUACUGUCCUCCGACCUAGGUUUGAGCUCCGGCAACUAUGAGCCAUCAUCUGACCCUCACGUUGCCCCAAGAAUGCCAUCCUGACCCCAAGAAUCAGAUGAUGUCGACCCAAUUGAAGUUCAUAACAUCAAUGAUGUAUUUCCUAGAAUUCAAAAUCAAAAUUUGGAUGACUUUUUGGUUGAUGAAUGUGACUUUGAAGAUGAAACUCUAAGGGAAUAUGAGGAUGAAGGUGAAGAAUGUGUACAUGUAGAAAGUAAUUGUGAUGAUAAUUGGGUUUUGGUUAACGAUGAUGAUGAUUUGUAAAUUCAACUUAUUGUAACAUUUUUUCUUAAUUAAAUGAAGAUUGAUUAUUACUUGA